Molecule: non-coding RNA, 2386 nt
Organism: Paralichthys olivaceus (Japanese flounder)
Lineage: Eukaryota; Metazoa; Chordata; Actinopteri; Pleuronectiformes; Paralichthyidae
Source: RefSeq, a predicted model, not a curated record
UUGGUCUUUGUUGGUUCAUUGUCAUAUUAUGUGCUCAUCUCAACACCCUGUUGUUGUUUCUCCUCCCUCAUUCCCUAAAGUCCACCAGCUCCUCUAAUCCUGACAACUCUGCCCCAAAAAUGUUAUGGGCACCUUUACAUUAGCCUGCUCUAUUUUAAUAUUAAAGAAGACUUGACAGGUAGGAGGGAAGAGAAAAAAGGACGACGGAUGACACAAGUGCGACACCAUGACCAGAGAGUUUGACACACCACAAGGUUGACUGUGACACUGAGAUAGUGUCCACGAUAAACAGGACAGUAAAGAGAAACCCGAGAUGAGUUACCUAACGAGGACCAGUGAGUCAGAAGCGACAAGAGGCUGGAAAGAAUGAGUUCAACGCCUGAUAUAAGUUAAGGAAAGUUAAACAAGGAAAUGUGUGCGUGCGUGUCAUUCAUCAGCAGAGAAAGGACACGAACAGUGUGUAUCAACUCAGGACAACAAGUCCGUCUUUUAUUAUAUUUUCACUCGUCUCCUUCAUCUCCAUCAACAGCACACACUUCUGUUAGAACCCCCUUCAUAACAAAAGUCCCCCCCAGACACAAUUCUCACAACAGGAAGUACACCCUGACUUUCAACAAUAAACCAUUAAAUAAAAUAGCUUACAUACCUCCCCCUUUUCAAAAAAAAAACUUCCCCAUUUCUAAACGGCGACAGCAUAAACCCAACACCCAACGUGCAAAUACCAACACAUCUAGAACCAUGCAUCCCAAAAAAAAAAAACGUGUGACCCAGAGUUGCAUACAAUCCAGAACCCCCUAAAGAACAGUUAACCAACACAUCAGUCAAACAAAUCAACUAACCAACACAAACAACAUCGAAUCAAACCGGCGGUGUCACAGCUCUUCCAGAACUGGACACCGUUUUGCGUGGCUUCCUUGGGCCUAUGCCAUCAUCCACCAGUGGCCCCACAGUUUUUCUCUCGAGUGACCUCUCGUCCAGCAGUGAGGGAGCAUGAAGAGGAGAAGCUGGGAGGCUACUUAAAGAACCCACAGGCAGCGGUGGAUAGUAAGGUUUACGUCUGUCAUAAUGAACCACCCGCUCCUGUCCAGGGUUGAAAGGACACCUAAUGUGAUAGGUUAGUCCAGUUUCUCCUUGAGAGUCCAAAACAGUCAGGACCCUGUAGGGGCCCUUCCAGUGGAGUGCAAGUUUCACACAGUCCUGCUUAGGAUUAUGUAACCACACCUAAUCUCCCUCUGCAUAUAGCCAAUGAUGAACAGUCCCAUCAUAAUACAGUUUAGAGUAGGGUGUACACUGGUAUUAGGAAGUGUGAUAUGUGGUCGGACUGGCCCAGGUGCGGUAAGGGUUUAGCCCUGUAGCCCUGCUUGAUGUUCGUGAAGACUUUAUCCAAUGUGUUGGCUCCUCUUGUGGCACACUUCACGUGGAAUUUGGGGAGCACUGGUUUUAAAUCCACAUGAUUAAAGCCCCCCACGACGAUAUGCACAGCGUCAGGGUAUUUGGUCAGCUGAUUGCUAAUGCGUAGAAGAAUCAUGUAGAAAUCUUGUGGCUGUGUUAGCAUUAGCAUCUGGAGCUAUGUAAAAAGUGGUGAUCAGGACCAUGGUAAACUCUCUGGGAAGAUGCAUAGGUCUGCGUUUAACAGUCACAUACUCCAAGUCCGGAGAGCAGUGACUGUCCACAGUAACUGUGUUUUUACACCAGUUGUUGUCCACGUACAGACACAGCCCCCCCACCUCUGCUUUCCCCGGAGUCGCUGGUCCUAUCAUGGCGCUGUACCAUGUAGCCUGUUAGCUGGAUAGCGGAGUCCGGAAUAAAUGAGUGGAGCCAGGAUUCUGUGAUCAACAGAAUGCAGCUGUUCUGGAGGAUGUUGUUGGUCUCAUUUCAUCAGUUUUGUUGACUAGGGACCUGGCAUUGGUGAGGUAAAUGCUGGGAAGCGAUGGUUUAGCAGGCUGCUUCCGUAGCCUCGCUAGCGCGCCAGCCCUGCAGCCUCGCUUUUGCUUCGUCUCCCUUCGCCGUCUCCAUCGCCUGGCUGUGGGGAUAGUAAUCCAUGGAGACCUGGGACUCCUUGCUAUGUUUGAUGGGAUGUCAUGGAAACUGAGGAACUCUGUUGUUAACCUUCUCUCAUUACUAAUGCUGAUCUUAAGAAUUUCGUGCCGGCUGUAGAUGUUGUUCACCCAGCAGAACGUAGAUGACACAACAAACAAUACUAACAUACACUUCCAUACUAAGCACUGAAAUGAGGAGCACCGUGCCGCUGCUCCAUGUGCGCUGCCAUACUGUGUUGAAAUAGCACAUCUAUUAUAAUUUUAAGAAUGAUGCUUCUUUGAUACGCUUCAGAUCCUAACUCAGAAUUAUUCCUCUGCAUUAUUGAGCUCUCCUCAAACAGGCCAAC